RNAcentral lists this transfer RNA (92 nucleotides) under Actinomycetes bacterium. Its description in RNAcentral is "Actinobacteria bacterium tRNA-Ser". It matches the Rfam family "tRNA". From Rfam's summary of the family: Transfer RNA (tRNA) molecules are approximately 80 nucleotides in length. Their secondary structure includes four short double-helical elements and three loops (D, anti-codon, and T loops). Lineage: Bacteria; Bacillati; Actinomycetota; Actinomycetes. The record is from RNAcentral.
GGCGGGGUGCCGGAGCGGUCGAACGGGGCGGUCUUGAAAACCGCUGGCGGCCGAAAGGUCGCCCGUGGGUUCAAAUCCCACCCCCGCCGCCA